Long non-coding RNA from Oncorhynchus tshawytscha (Chinook salmon), 424 nucleotides. The record is from Ensembl. NCBI's taxonomy places the organism in Eukaryota, Metazoa, Chordata, Actinopteri, Salmoniformes, Salmonidae.
CGGAGGUGUAGAUUACAUCUCACAUUCCAGUGUUCCUAAUGGAGGUGUAGAUUACAUCUCACAUUCCAGUGUUCCUAAUGGAGGUGUAGAUUACAUCACACAUUACAGUGUUCCUAAUGGAGGUGUAGAUUACAUCUCACAUUCCAGUGUUCCUAAUAGAGGUGUAGAUUACAUCACACAUUCCAGUGUUCCUAAUGGAGGUGUAGAUUACAUCUCACAUUCCAGUGUUCCUAAUAGAGGUAUAGAUUACAUCUCACAUUCCAGUGUUCCUAAUAUAGGUGUAGAUUACAUCUCACAUUCCAGUGUUCCAACUUGUAAACCAGGCUGCUGUAGUCAAUGAAUGCUAUUCAUUGACUACAGCUCAGCAUUCAACACCAUGGUGCCCUCGAAGCUCAUCAAUAAGCUAAGGACCCUGGGACUAAAC